GGGCAAUUAGCUCAGCGGGAGAGCGCUCGCCUCACACGCGAGAGGUCAGAGGUUCGAAACCUCUAUUGCCCA
This 72-nucleotide transfer RNA is filed under the name Elusimicrobiota bacterium. Its description in RNAcentral is "Elusimicrobia bacterium (microbial mat metagenome) tRNA-Val". It matches the Rfam family "tRNA". From Rfam's summary of the family: Transfer RNA (tRNA) molecules are approximately 80 nucleotides in length. The record is from RNAcentral. Lineage: Bacteria; Pseudomonadati; Elusimicrobiota.